UGGGGAAUAUUGGACAGUGGGGGCAACCCUGAUCCAGCCAUGCCGCGUGAGUGAUGAAGGCCUUAGGGUUGUAAAACUCUUUCAGGGGUGACGAUAAUGACGGUAACCCCAGAAGAAGCCCCGGCUAACUCCGUGCCAGCAGCCGCGGUAAUACGGAGGGGGCAAGCGUUGUCCGGACUUACUGGGCGUAAAGCGCACGCAGGUGGUAACGCAAGUGGGGUGUGAAAGCCGCCAGCUUAACUGGCGGAGGCCAUCCCAAACUGCGUCACUUGAGGCCUGUAGAGGUAUGUGGAAUUGCCGGUGUAGUGGUGAAAUGCGUAGAGAUCGGCAGGAACACCCAGGGGGAAACCAGCAUACUGGACAGGUCCUGACACUCAGGUGCGACAGCGUGGGGAGCGAACCGGAUUAGAUACCCGCGUAGUCC
Molecule: ribosomal RNA, 424 nt
Filed under: uncultured prokaryote
Description: partial 16S ribosomal RNA
Rfam family: Bacterial small subunit ribosomal RNA
Source: RNAcentral